CCUCAGUGCUAUGAAGGUGACAGCGUGAGGUGACCCAUCUGGCCCCCCGCGAUGCUGGCAACACGGCGGCUGCUCGGCUGGUCGCUUCCCGCGCGGGUAUCUGUGCGUUUCAGCGGCGACACGUCCUCGGCCUGGCGGAAGUUUUGCAGGUUAUGAAGCGCCCUAGUCUUUCAUUCCCUCCUUGUCACAGCCUUGUAGGGCGUGAAGGGGUCAUUGCCCCAUUUAGGGAUGCGCACCUCCUGAUUUCCCGUCCACUGCUCUGCGCCCUGAAGUGGCUGAAAAGUGCUCUUAAAAGGAUGGGAAUCCCGUCGCCCUCAGCUGGUGCGCUCUCCACUGGGUCGUGGGGCUCCUCAUUUCAUCCUAAGUGAGCCCCUCCAUCACCUGUGUGUUAAGGAGGCAUUUCUUUCCCAUCAGUAAACACAUUUCGCCUCUUCGGCCGAGACAGCACCCAAGAAAACCUCAUUUGGCUCGCUGAAGGAUGAAGACCGGAUUUUCACCAACCUGUACGGCCGCCAUGACUGGAGGUGAGACAGUGCCCUUAGUGUGUUGGGUCCGGGAGCAAGGUGUCCCCUUCAUUGCCUUCCCUAUUCUGUCCAGGCUGAAAGGUUCCCUGAGUCGAGGUGACUGGUACAAGACAAAGGAGAUCCUGCUG
Molecule: small RNA, 652 nt
Filed under: Pan troglodytes (chimpanzee)
Lineage: Eukaryota; Metazoa; Chordata; Mammalia; Primates; Hominidae
Description: processed transcript
Source: RNAcentral